AGAACGAACGCUGGCGGCAUGCCUAACACAUGCAAGUCGAACGCUCUUGGGGCUUCGGUUCCAAGGGAGUGGCGCACGGGUGAGUAGCGCGUGGGAACCUGCCCUGGAGUGGGGGAUAACCGAGGGAAACUUCGGCUAAUACCGCAUGCGCCCGGGAAACCGGGGAAAGAUUUAUCGCUCUAGGAGGGGCCCGCGUCGGAUUAGCUAGUUGGUGGGGUAACGGCCUACCAAGGCUUUGAUCCGUAGCUGGUCUGAGAGGAUGAUCAGCCACACUGGGACUGAGACACGGCCCAGACUCCUACGGGAGGCAGCAGUGGGGAAUAUUGGACAAUGGGCGCAAGCCUGAUCCAGCAAUGCCGCGUGAGUGAUGAAGGCCUUCGGGUUGUAAAGCUCUUUCGCACGCGAGGAUGAUGACGCUAGCGUGAGAAGAAGCCCCGGCUAACUUCGCGCCAGCAGCCGC
This 460-nucleotide ribosomal RNA is filed under the name uncultured bacterium. RNAcentral describes it as "SSU rRNA". It matches the Rfam family "Bacterial small subunit ribosomal RNA", at positions 26 to 518 of the family's 1533-position model. The record is from RNAcentral.